This 9945-nucleotide long non-coding RNA is filed under the name Citrus maxima (pomelo). Its description in RNAcentral is "long non-coding RNA (CMAX_LNC002829)". The record is from RNAcentral. Lineage: Eukaryota; Viridiplantae; Streptophyta; Magnoliopsida; Sapindales; Rutaceae.
UGGGUUCGUCCACGUGCUUCCCGACGCCUUCGAGAACUUAACGUCGCCCUGCCUCGAUGAACAUCCAUGGGCGGAUUUUCCGUUCACCGGAUUUGCUGCCAUGGUUGCUGCUAUCGGGACUCUGAUGAUUGAUGCUUUUGCAACUUCUUAUGCGACCUCUUAUUAUCGCAAGUCUCACUUUGGUGAAGCGGAGGAUAACGUAUCAGAUGAAGAGAAAGUUGGGGAGCAUGCAGGUCACGUGCAUGUUCAUACUCAUGCAACUCAUGGCCAUGCUCAUGGAUCUAUUGAAUAUGCUGGUGAAUCGGAGCUUCUACGACACCGUGUCAUAUCUCUGGUUAUAAUUUAUUUAUUUAUUUUUAAAUUUUCAUGCAUAUAUAAAAUGAUGGUGAAUUUUUAAUUAUAUUGGUAAAUUAAUUAAUUAAUUUUUAAAAAAAUUUCAUUUUGGGUUAUUUUUUUCGUUAGGUUUUGGAGUUGGGAAUUCUUGUGCACUCGGUAAUCAUUGGAAUUUCAUUGGGUACUUCUGAGAGUCCAAAAACUAUUAAGCCUUUGGUUGCAGCGUUGACUUUUCAUCAAUUCUUUGAAGGAAUGGGUCUUGGUGGUUGCAUUACGCAGGUAAUUGAUAUUUUUUAUUUAUGAUUAAAUAAAGUUUGACCAAUUUGACAGUUGUCCAUUCUUUUAAUUAUUAUUCUUACUUUGUAAGUUUUAAUUAAGAUGCUUGAUACAUGGUGCUAACUAGCCAUAAGAAUCAAUUAUCAAAUCACUUUUAUUUUGGAAAACUCUUUUUUUUUUUUGGUUAGAAAAAGGAAAAACUUAUUUGAAGUUUUAAAAUUCUCUGUUUUUUUGUUUACGCUGUUGACUAUAUGUGUGUACAUGUAAUACUAAAGUCUUUUUGUGACAAUAUCCACCUAUGCACAAUCAAGUGGACAAUAUGGCUCCAAAUUUCAUUAGUAAUUGAUGUUAACAAUUUUGUUUUAACGUGUUCGUUUUUAUAGGCAAAAUUCAAGUCUCGAGGAGUCGCAAUAUUGGCCUUUUUCUUCUCUUUGACAACCCCAGCUGGGAUAGCAAUAGGCAUUGGAAUAUCAAGUUUUUAUGACGAAAAUGACCCCACUGCUCUUAUUGUUGAAGGGAUAUUCAACGCAGCAGCAGCUGGAAUCCUAAUAUACAUGUCCUUGGUUGAUCUUCUUGCUGCAGAUUUUAUGAAUCCGAAGAUGCAAGACAAUAAAAGGCUUCAAUUUGGAGCACAUGUUUCUCUUCUUUUAGGAGCUGGUUGCAUGUCCUUGUUAGCCAAAUGGGCUUAAAAAUCAUAGAGAUUUUUUCGGCAAUUUUUGUUUAUCCAAUAGUUUAAUUUGCGGCAGUUUUUGUACAGACAUUUUGAUGGAUGUUUACUAUCUGUAAAAUAACUUAAAUUGAUUAGGGUUAAGUGUAGCGUUUUAAAAUUUAAAGAGGGUAAGUGUCAUAACUCAUUUGAUUUUGGGUGUGAAUCUUUGUAACUUAAACUUGAAGGGAUUUGUAAUUUUUCCUUGUACAUAUUUUAUUUCUUUUGAUUAAAGAUCAUUACUCGUCGGUGAGCUUUAAAUAAUAAAUUCCACAAGGCCCCUGCCAAAAAGGGGUAAAAAACAAAAGGAAAGAAAAGAAAAGGUAUGAACUAAUUUGAAAAGAAGAUGAUAAAGAUCAUGGUGAUGAUAUUGACUCAAUUGAGGAAGAAAACUCAAACUCGUAGUGUUUAUCGAUGGCCAUUGAUAUAUCAAUAUUACACAUCAAUGUAUGUAUAUACAUACGCACAUCAAUAUUGCUAUGUUUGCAAGUUUGUAAUAAAAAAUAACUUUGGUAUUCAACCCAAUGUGUCGUUAUAAGAAAAUGACACAUGUCAAAUGAUUACUUAUAUUUUCACUUUCACUUGAUAGUUUGUAUGAACACUUUGUAUAUGCCGUGUUAAUAUCAAAUAUGUCAUAUUAGUUGGGUAUAACCAGUGGCGGACCCAGAAACUAAAAUGAGGGAGGGCUUAGUUCAAAAAUUUUUAUUUAACUUAAAUUUUUUUAAUGUUCACUCGAAUACAUUUUAAGUCUUAUAAACUCAAAUUUUAUAAUUUUUUUUUAAAUUCUAAAUAAUAAUAGUAAUAAAUUAUUAUUUUUAAAUGCGUGAAAAUAUUAUUUUUCGAAGUAGUUUCCACAAAAUAUUUAAAAAAAUAAAAUAAUGUGGUUAAUGGGAUUUGAACCAAGGUUUUAAAAUCAUUAAAUAACACUCUUACCAUUGAACCACAAGUCUUUUAGUAUGUGAAAAAUGUGUCCAAAUUGUAUUAUCUAACUUUUUCAGAAGGGGCUUGUGGUACAUUUAAAAGAAAACUUAAUGGUCCAUGGGGGGUUGAAGUCCCUCCUGGACCUUAAUUGGGUCCGCCCAUGGGUAGAACCAUAUAAAAUUUAUAUUCUAACUAAAUGUAAUUAUAGACUUAAGUGAAAAAUAUAGAUUUAGUUGGUCUUUUAGUGAAAAUAAGGGUAUUACAAACAUUGUCCUUCAUAUGGCAAGCUAGAACAAUACAUGAAUGGGUCGACGAGGUUAAGUCAAGAGAAACCUAAAAACGCAAGCUGGUUGAAGCCAGCCACUUGCUACUUGCUAUUGCCAAAAGAGAGGAAAAACGACAUCGUAAUCCACUAGGUACGGACUACUAAUUAAUUAGCUGAGUUGUCUCCUUUUACUUCCAAAAACGUCCAAACUCAUCUUGUAAAACUUUCAAUAUUCUGAAUUUUGAUUCCUUAAUUUUACUUAAGAAUUUGGUCUUUAUCUAAGUUUUAAAUAAAGUGUUUUAAUAAGUUACAAAAAAUAAUUACCAUUUCUCAUAAUUUCGGGGCAUUCCGAGAAUCGAACUCGGGACCUCUCGCACCCAAAGCGAGAAUCAUACCACUAGACCAAAUGCCCAGUGACAAAUUGCAACUUCCUUACAAAAUAUUAAUCUUGUUUCUAAAUUGAAGUCAUUACACACAGCUUCAUACUUCUUCGUUUCCAUUAAUAAGAAUUUGACUGAGAGAAUGGCGGCAACUUGAUUCCAAGCAAACAGACUGAUGAAUGAUCACGACAAAGGUGAAAUUGUUUCUGAGUAAAACUUGGAACAAAACUUGACACGUACAUGAACACAGAGAGUCAAAUUAACAAGCUAGCCAACAUCCAAAAUGGCCUACAAAUUCAUAACAAAACGACAUGGGGAUUUGCCACUUGCCAGAUUCCAAUCUCUAGACAAUGCACACAUCUUUUGGUUGAAAACUCGAGCUCUGUUAAAAUAUCUUUUUGUUAAAUAUCUCAAGCUCUGCCAAGGGAGUUGACGUUCAAUCGUUAUCUCAUUCCUAUAUACGUUUCACAUCUCAGGAGCUGAACUAAAGGAUUCAAGUAUAAGAAUAGGAUGUAAUUAUUAAGAUCGUUAACACGUACAAACAUUGCCGAUACUACGAUCAUCAAAUCUGAUUUCAUACUUAACAAAUUAAUUAUUUAUUUAACAAAUAAAUUAGUACCCUAAUUAAUAACUUGAUCAGUGCGGAUAUGAUUUAUGAAAGAUGUAUAUAUGCCACGGGGCAACAAAUUGACUACAAGGUAAUAACAUUAAAUGUUGGACUAGUAGCUUGUUACCAUUCAUUCAUUUUUUAUUUUAUUUUUAACAUUCAUAUAUAAUAUUUAAUAUGAUAUUAAUACAACAUGAUCCCAUGUUACAAGUUAAUUUCAGCAUCAUUGUUAUAGUUUUCAUGUUCAACCUUACAAGCAAACUCCUAAGUCUAUUCAUAUGAGGUGCAAGUGCAAGUAUGCAACUGGCAGAGCUUGAAAAACUUUUUGAGGUUCAUGGUCCUAUGAUAAAGUUAUCAAAAGUAUUUAACAUUAUGCUCUUUAUUUAAUUCUUCUAUAAACUUCUGUCAAAUAAUAGAACCUUAGGAGGGACCCAAUUGGCUAAAUCCCAUCACAGUCUCACAACUGGUCCUGAAGCUUUCUUUUACAUGAACUGCUUAGAAGCAUUUCAGAAUUUUCCUUACCUUUUCUUCUGAAUGAUUUAAGGAAUAAUUGAAAUUAAAAUUGAAUAAUUUUCGUUGCCUUUUUAUCCCAAAAUGGUAUAUUUUCUUGAAUCCAAAACCAGUUUGAAUAUUGAUAUUUGAUACAGCCCCUUGUAACUACAAAAUAAGAUUUUAGGGUCAAAAACUUUUAGUCAGUUAGGUUAGGGUUUUAUUUUUGACAUAUAUUUUAUUGUUUAAAAGGAAAAACAAAUGAUUAAAUAUAACCGUCGUGUUACCCACGGUUUGAUACAAGGAUGAUGAUUCUCUCUUGAUUUGAGCACACCUGAUCUUUUACAGAUUUUGCGUCACUUGUAUUUUAGUAUUAGUGUAUGAUUAGAAUUUAAUUACUUUUUCUUUUUAAUUUCUUAACCACCAAUCAUAUUAAUAAAAUUUACUCAAAAAAAAAAAUCAGACUAGACUAGGAGAGGAUCUCAAAAUCUUUGAUACAACCCUCCUUUUUUUUUUUUUAAUAUACUUCACACUCAGUAUAAAAAAAGACCAUAUUUCAUUUUAUUAUUUUAAAAUUGCAUUGACUAAACUGUAAAUAUUGAAUUUUAGAUUUGGUUAGCCAACCAAGAAGAUCGAAAAUCUAGCUAAUACUGUUAUCCGGCUGGCUUGUCAAAGAAAAAAAAAAUUAAAUGAGUCAAUUAUUAUUUCAACAUAAUAUCGACAUUGCAAGCUUGACUUAACCAAUUUUAGCCUACAGUUGUAGUGAGAAUGCUUUGAAAUUCCUUUCUGGCUGCUUAGUAUGUCGACAUAUUAUCAACACUUUGCUAUUUUUCAAUCCUUGAGAUUCCCAUCCAAAUUUUCAACUAGCCAGUCCCUAAUUGCAGGCCACUUUUAAUUCUGUGGUCAAAUUAAUUAUUUCGUCUAAUAAUUACCAUAAUUUUACAAAACGAAGAAACAACCCAUAUACAGAAGUUUGAUUCUACUCGUAACUUGAUUCUUACGGAAUCGUGUCCUCAUUAUUUCUUCAAAGCUACUUUUGAGAUGAUCAUCGAACGCUAAAGCGAAUUAAACCUUAAUUGGCACUUAGCGUUUUAUCCAAUCUCUUCUGUUUGUUCUAUUAAUUUCUUUUAUUUUGUUUUCUUAUUCUCUUUCAGUUUCAGUACUCGAUGGGGUCGGUGCAUGGGUCACAAUGAUUUUAUGAUGCUCUAGAGAUCAACAAUCACGCGCUUUCACAUAAACUCUGCACUAUAAACAAUUUCCUCUCAAAUAUUCUCAUCAUACAAAAAUAAAAAUCGUGAUAUUGUUUUCAGAUUUCAGAUUCUUUAACAUGAUCACUUCUCAUCGUCUUUUCAUCACUUUCUUUUGCAUUCUUCUAAUACUACUUCCCAACGUAGUACGAGGAGAAUGCACGUGCGAUCCUGAAGACGAUGAUCGAGACAAGACUCAAGCCUUAAAAUAUAAACUCGCCGCCAUCGCUUCGAUACUCGUGGCCGGAGCCAUCGGAGUUUUACUUCCGGUCCUCGGAAAAACUAUCAAGGCACUAAGUCCGGAGAGAAAUAUUUUCUUCCUAAUCAAGGCCUUCGCCGCCGGAGUUAUAUUAUCGACGGGGUUCAUCCACGUGCUUCCCGACGCCUUCGAGAACUUAACGUCGCCCUGCCUCGAUGAACAUCCAUGGGGGGAUUUUCCGUUCACCGGAUUCGCUGCCAUGGUUGCUGCUAUCGGGACUCUGAUGAUUGAUGCUUUUGCAACUUCUUAUGCGACUUCUUAUUAUCGCAAGUCUCACUUUGGUGAAGCGGAGAAUAACGUAUCAGAUGAAGAGAAAGUUGGGGAGCAUGCAGGUCACGUGCAUGUUCAUACCCAUGCAACUGAUGGGCAUGCUCAUGGAUUUCUUGAAUAUUCCGGUGAAUCGGAGCUUCUACGACACCGUGUCAUAUCUCUGGUAUAACUUAUUUAUUUAUUUUUAAUUUUUCAUGCACAUAUAAAACGAUGGUGAAUUUUUAUUUAUUUUUUUGAAGUUUCAUUUUGGUUAUUUUUUUCAUUAGGUUUUGGAGUUGGGAAUUCUUGUGCACUCGGUAAUAAUUGGAAUUUCCUUGGGAGCUUCUGAGAGUCCAAAAACCAUUAAGCCUUUGGUUGCAGCGUUGACUUUUCAUCAAUUCUUUGAAGGAAUGGGUCUUGGUGGUUGCAUUACGCAGGUAAUUAGGAUUUUCUUUUUAUGAUUAAAUUAAGUUUGACCAAUUUGACAGUUUUCCAUUUUUUCUCAUUAAUAUUGUUUUUACUUUGUAAGUUUUAGUUAAAAUGCUUCAUACAUGUACAUGGUGCUAACUAGCCAUAAGAAUUAAUUAUCAAAGCACUUUUUAUUUUGGAAAACUUUUUUUUGGUUAGAAAAAGGAAAAACUUAUUUGAAGUCUUAAAAUUCUCUGUUUUUUUUUUUUUACGCUGUUGACUAUAUGUGUGUACACAUAUGUAAUACUAAAGUCUUUUUGUGACAAUAUCCACCUAUGUACAAUCAAGUGGACAAUCUGGCUCCAAAUUUCAGUAGUAAUUGAUGUUAACAAUUUUGUUUUAACGUGUUCGUUUUUAUAGGCAAAAUUCAAGUCUCGAGGAGUUGCAAUAUUGGCCUUGUUCUUCUCUUUGACGACCCCAGUUGGGAUAGCAAUAGGCAUUGGAAUAUCAAGUGUUUAUGACGAAAAUAGCCCCACCGCUCUUAUUGUUGAAGGAAUAUUCAAUGCAGCAGCAGCCGGAAUCCUAAUAUACAUGUCCUUGGUGGAUCUUCUUGCUGCAGAUUUUAUGAAUCCAAAGAUGCAAACCAAUAAAAGGCUUCAGUUUGGAGCAAAUGUUUCUCUUCUUUUAGGCGCUGGUUGCAUGUCUUUGUUAGCCAAAUGGGCUUAAAAUUCAUUCAGAUUUUGUCUACAAUUUUUCUUCAUCCAAUAGUUUAAUUAAUUUGCGGCAGUUUUUGUACGGACAUUUUUUUUUUUAAAAUUUUACCAUUUAAUUAGUCGCCACAAAAGUUUAUAAUUUUAAAUAAAUUGACUAAUUGCCCCUCUUUUUGACACUUUUUCAUGGAAUGCAAAAGUCCUGUGCCCCGAGUGAGGGGAAAACAAUAAAAAUAAAUAAAAAGACACUCAAGACACAUGAGAUUCUAAUUUGGGCAAAUAUUAUUCCAAUAUGAUAGCCCAAUCGCUUAGCCUCUUUUUGUUUUGGCACCCUACCAACUCUUUUAAAACCCUUUCACUUAUUUGCUCCUUUUUCCGUUUAUUACAAUAAGAACCUUAUUUUAAAAUUUCUUCAUCAAACAUGGAAACCAGUUAUCCAAUCGUCCUCUUCGAACCCCGUAAUCCUAUAUAUAUAUAUAUAUAUAUAUAUAUAUUCUUUCUGAUUCUUCUUAUUCUCUCACUCUUGUUUCCAUUUUUUUUUCGCCUUCUCUCAUCUUUAGAUUCUUUUAAUCUAUUUUCAUUGCUUCCGAAAAUAAAAGAAAUAAAAAAUUUUAAUCAAACGUAUAAAUUAAUGAAAUUGUUAAUUUGUUGUACUGCAAAUACCAAUUAAAACUCGCAAUUCUCACUAACGAAAAUUUACUGGGGCAAUGAAAAUAGAAAAAAAAGUAUUACUUUAAAACUCCAAACAAAAAAUGUAACAAUUUAUUUAAUAUCUAUUUGUUAAGUACCCAUUCUGAUUUUCUAAUAGUGUUUGUAACGAGUCUUUGAGAUAUUAUUAUUAUUUGGAAACUUGAUUCUUUCUCUCUCUUCCCUUCCCCGGGGAAUAGCUAGGGUUUUUAGUCGCUAUUUUGGAAUUCCAAUAAGUUGGGUGAAUUCUCUGAUAACAGAAGAAAAUAUGUAUUAAUCUGGGGGUCACAUGUUUGUCCUUUGAUGUAAUUUUGCUGGAGACUACAAUUGUAAAAUACUCAAAAGGUGUUAUAAGAGUAUAAUGAAAGGAAGCCAUUAGUCCAACUUCUAACGAAAAUUGGAUGUACUAUGUUUGUUUGGUUUAGCCUAAAUGCCUAAUGGGUUUUGUUUAAAAAUAAAUAAAAAAUACUACAACAUUUUUAAGUUAUAUCAUUCAUCCACACUAAAUUUAUAAUUUAUAUUAUUCAUCCACCAAAUCAUUAGCUUCCAUUAGAAAGUAAUGAGGUCAUAAGGGUAAUUUAGAUAUUUAACAUGCUAAAUAAAAAAAAUAGAGAAAUUAACAGUCUGCCUUAAGUUUAAUUACUCAGUUAUAAAAAACAUUACAAAAGUUUAAAUUCGUUUAAUUUUCCACCCUAAAUUUGUAAUUUGUAUCGAUCAUCCACCAAAACAUUAACGGUUGUUUACAAUUAAUGACGUCACAAGGGUGAUUUAGGCAUUUAAUAUACUAAACAUAAAAUUAAAAUAAUAUUUUAAAAUAUAAAAAUAAAAAAUUCAUUUACAUAGCCAAUAUUCCAUUAUAUACACUUAAAACUCUAUUUUUUUUCCUUAAUAGAAAAAAAAAUCUGAUUUGACCUCUCAAUUUGUCUUCACCAAUUUGCAUAAUCAAACUAAAUCCACAAAUUAUCCUAAGUCCUAAUUCAUGAAGACCCAAUCAACCCAUCGUUAAAUUUGAUUUCAUAAUUUUAAAAAGCUAAAUUUUAUUGUAUUAUUAAUAGUGUGAAGUAAAAAUAUCCUUGAAUUCAAGAGUAAAAUGGUUAUUUUAUUUAAAUUCUAUUAAACAUUUGAAAUCAUUAUCUUAGCCUUUUUAUUUAAACUCUCUACUCACACUAAUUAAAGAUCUAAACUACCUAAUGUUUUAUUCAAGAAUGAGGCAACAAAUAAGUAUUAAGAUUUAGUGAGAGUUAAAUUUUUGUUGAGCACUGAAUUAAGAUGAUAAUUAUUUAAAUUUUUAUUUUUUUAUUUAUCUUGUUUAACAAUUAUUGAUUCAAUACUAAGUGAUUGUUUGGUAUGACUUAUUUGAUAACCAUAAGUGCUUAUUUAAUCCUAUAAGCUCUUAUCAUAAUUUUUGUUGUUGUUUGGUUGUUUUACUAAUAGAGAUUUUGAAGCUUAAAUAAGCUAUAUUACCUCCACUAGUAAAAGCUCAAAUUUUGAGCUUUUGGGAGUAGAUGUUAAAUUUUUUUUUUAAAAUGUCAAAAUAUCUAAAAUAUCCUCUAUUUAUUUAACAAUCUUAUUUAUUUUUUUCAUAAUAUAACUUUAAAAAGCUUGCCUAUUAAAGUAAUUUCAUAAAAUUUUAACUAAAACUCUUAUUGACAACCAAACAACUAAAUUGUUUUUUGUAAAAGCGCUAUUUACAAAAGCUCUACUAACAAAAACUCUAUUUAAACAAACUCUGUUUGAAAAGUUGUACCAAACGGAGCCUAAGUAAAAACUCCGCUCAGCAACCCUUAUCCACAACAAACAAUAUCCAUCUUUCAAAUUCCAGUACAAACUCUCACAUAUACUCUCCAUAAAAGAAACAAUUUACUCUCAAAUAUCUUCGUACCAAAAAUCAUAAAACGGCUUCAGGCUGCAAAUUCUUUCCAUGAUCACUUGAUUCAAUUCUCGUGGUCAUCACUAAACUCCGAUGGCUCCGGCUACGAGGAUCACACGUGCAUUCUCCUAUUACUUUGUGAUCCUCGUAUCGGAGCCGUCGGAUUUUUCUUCCGGUCUUCGGAAAACCAUCCCGGUAUUAAGUCCGGAGAAAAAAAAAAGUUUCUUGCCUUUGCCGCCGGAGUUAUAUUAUCAACCGGGUUCAUUAACGUGCUUCCCAACUCCUUUGAUACCUUGACAUCACAGUGCCUCGAUGAAAUCCCGUUCAUCGGAUUGAUUGAUGGUUGUUGCUAUCAGGACUCUGAUGACUUAUGCUUUUGCAACUUCCUAAGCUACUUCUUAUAAUCGUCGUGAUAAAACUGAGAAUCACAAUUGAGCAGAUGAAGAGAAAGUUGAAAGUUGGAAGCAUGCAAACUCAUGGCUCCGUUGAAUGUUCCGGUGAAUCGGAGCUUCUAUGAAGCCAUGUCAUAUCUCUGGUU